RNAcentral lists this long non-coding RNA (299 nucleotides) under Brassica napus (rape). RNAcentral describes it as "long non-coding RNA (BNAP_LNC027144)". Lineage: Eukaryota; Viridiplantae; Streptophyta; Magnoliopsida; Brassicales; Brassicaceae. The record is from RNAcentral.
GAGUCUGUGAAUGUCUGCUGUCAGAAAAAAAAAAAUUUAAAGAUAAUAAACGAUUGCCUUGAUGGACUCGUUCAAAACGCAAAAGAGACAAGACAUGUGUUUCACUACUUGAUGCUAUCUUCAUUCUACUGUUUAGUUUCUGACUUUGUUAUCUCUGUUUCUCCCAGGAAACAGAUGUAGAGAACUCCAGCAACGUGACUACUCUAAUCUCAAGGUUCUGCUAUCUUUGAUCUCUUGCAUCAUUACUAAAGGUUAUGAAAGUCUUUUGAUUUUGUUUUCUUGGAUUCAUAGGAUGCAAG